This 325-nucleotide ribosomal RNA is filed under the name uncultured eukaryote. Its description in RNAcentral is "partial 18S ribosomal RNA". It matches the Rfam family "Eukaryotic small subunit ribosomal RNA", at positions 1470 to 1796 of the family's 1831-position model. The record is from RNAcentral.
CCCUUAGAUGUUCUGGGCCGCACGCGCGCUACACUGACUGGUGCAACAAGUGUCUGACCUUGGCUCGAGAGGCCUGGGCAACCUUUGAACGCCAGUCGUGCUGGGGAUAGAUUCUUGCAAUUAUUAAUCUUCAACGAGGAAUUCCUAGUAAACGCAAGUCAUCAGCUUGCAUUGAUUACGUCCCUGCCCUUUGUACACACCGCCCGUCGCACCUACCGAUUGAAUGGUCCGGUGAAAUCUCCGGACUGGCGUGAGUCGGAGCAAUCUGACAAACACCGGAAAGUUGAUUAAACCUUACCAUUUAGAGGAAGGUGAAGUCGUAACA